RNAcentral lists this ribosomal RNA (138 nucleotides) under uncultured bacterium. RNAcentral describes it as "partial 16S ribosomal RNA". It matches the Rfam family "Bacterial small subunit ribosomal RNA", at positions 355 to 507 of the family's 1533-position model. The record is from RNAcentral.
GGGGGAAUUUUCCGCAAUGGGCGAAAGCCUGACGGAGCAAUACCGCGUGAGGGAUGACGGCCUAUGGGUUGUAAACCUCUUUUUUCAGGGAGGAAUAAAUGACGUGUACCUGAAGAAUAAGCAUCGGCUAACUCCGUG